This 251-nucleotide ribosomal RNA is filed under the name uncultured bacterium. RNAcentral's name for it is "partial 16S ribosomal RNA". It matches the Rfam family "Bacterial small subunit ribosomal RNA", at positions 88 to 339 of the family's 1533-position model. The record is from RNAcentral.
CUUGAGACCGGCGCACGGGUGCGUAACGCGUAUGCAAUCUACCCUUUACUGGGGAAUAGCCCGGAGAAAUUCGGAUUAAUGCCCCAUAUGCCCACGGAAUCGCAUGGUUCAGUGGGGAAAGUUCCGACGGUAAAGGAUGAGCAUGCGUCCCAUUAGCUAGUUGGUGAGGUAACGGCUCACCAAGGCGACGAUAGGUAGGGGCCCUGAGAGGGGGAUCCCCCACACUGGUACUGAGACACGGACCAGACUCC